RNAcentral lists this unclassified non-coding RNA (365 nucleotides) under Hevea brasiliensis (rubber tree). Lineage: Eukaryota; Viridiplantae; Streptophyta; Magnoliopsida; Malpighiales; Euphorbiaceae. The record is from RNAcentral.
GCGAAGCAGAAGCAGAGCCACAAUUUUGGUGAAAAAACUAUCAUACAAUACUAGGAAAUACUAUUUUCAACUAGAAUGAAAAGAAAUAAAGAAUACCCUGUUUCUAGGAAUUGGGUUUGAUUUAGCAUGUGCCUGGUUUGCGCUAGCAUGUACGUCCGUUCAUCUUCAGGUUUGAGUUGCUCAUAUCGGAACAAAAACUUGGCGACGAACGUCGUUGGGUAUUCAGAAUCAUGAGAAAGUUGGGAAAGCAGCUCAGCGAAAAUUCUUGCUCUAUAAUUUGAAUCAAUUUGCAAUUCUGGUUCAUAGAUUGAAACUCUUCCAAGUAAUUCAUUACUUUCUCCCAGCUUCUGAAUCUCCUCCUUUUG